This is a long non-coding RNA of Wasmannia auropunctata (little fire ant), 1061 nucleotides long. RefSeq lists it as uncharacterized. The record is from RefSeq and is a predicted model, not a curated record. The transcript is spliced from 4 exons. NCBI's taxonomy places the organism in Eukaryota, Metazoa, Arthropoda, Insecta, Hymenoptera, Formicidae.
AUGCGUCCAGCGUCAGUACCGCGUAAGCUGUCGCGCGGAUAAUUUAGGCGUGCGGAACUAAUUGCGCGCAGCGGCAAUUUGCCGCGAACACCUGGCGCGGCUAACCCUUUUGCAGGGCGUUUACGAAUCUCCGCGAUACGGCGCGGCCAAAUGUCGAUUUUGCGCCGUCGCGCCGCCGUUUGAAGUCGAACAUAGAUCGCACGUCCGCGUCUCUCGCCGGGAAAAAGUGACGUCGCGCAGAAAAAUAUACGUCGGAAAACGCCGGACGCUGGACGAGGCGGGGGAGCAAUCGUUGCAGAGAUUGUCAAUCGUGUCGGAUUAACGCGCGCCGACCGGCGUAAUUCGCCACGAUUAGCCCGGUUCGCGACGAUCGCGUAUUUGGCAAUAUGAUCGCGACACGCCAGCCGUUUCGCACGCCGCGUCGUUUAUAGCCGAAGCGAGAUCGCUUUCGCGUCUUUCGCCGGGAAAAUGUAAGUCGGCGUAGAAAAAUACACGUCGGGAGCGCCGGACACAAUUAGGAUUAAAAACGUAAAGUAUCCGGAGUGGAAAAAGCUGCAGGCGGAUCAUCGGACAAUGCGUAUUGCUGCGGAAAGUCGAGAUAGAUGGUUAAUCACUUGGCGGCGGCGCGGCGGGUCCCGUCCGCACGGUUUUCAAAGGAACCAGCGGCUACAAAAUUAACGCGAUUAGGCCGGCGGUGGACUCGCUCGGGGAUCGUUAGUCAUUCGAGAGGGGUCACAAGUGCUCGACUCUGGUUACAAGUAAUGGAAUAACAGCGACCGAAUGUGGAUAAUCGUUCAUCAUUGUUUCUACGAAUAACCGUAAUUUUUAUUUAAAAUGAAGAAAAUACUCUAAAUUUAUUAUCAUUUAUUAGUCUCUAAAUUUAUUAUCAUCAAAUCAUAAGAGGCCAACGAUCCUUCGGCUUCUAAAUUUAAUUGACGUGCAAUGUAAAAGACUUAUUAUAGAGAGAAUGAAACGUGCACGAUAAAAAACCGAUAUAUAUCAUAUAUAUAAUUACUUUGGCUCAGAGAUAAAUAUAAAAGAUCGAGAAAAGAUUAUUGAAA